RNAcentral lists this ribosomal RNA (114 nucleotides) under Erinaceus europaeus (western European hedgehog). The record is from RNAcentral. Lineage: Eukaryota; Metazoa; Chordata; Mammalia; Eulipotyphla; Erinaceidae.
UUCUGAGACCAUACCAUGAUACCAUGUCCGAUCUUGUCUGAUCUCAGAAGCUAAGCAGGGCCGGGCCUGGUUAGUACAUGGAUGGGAGAAGUUCUAAAAUCAAGGUGUCAGUAG